This is a long non-coding RNA of Trachemys scripta elegans, 3319 nucleotides long. RefSeq lists it as uncharacterized. NCBI's taxonomy places the organism in Eukaryota, Metazoa, Chordata, Testudines, Emydidae. The record is from RefSeq and is a predicted model, not a curated record. The transcript is spliced from 3 exons.
GGAAAUGUGCAGGUGUUUGAUAUUUAGCUCCCUAUUGCAGUUGAUAGAAUAAUUAUUUUGUUUAAACUUUUCAAAUCAACAGAAUUUCUUUCGUUGAGUCUGGAAUUGCCUUAUUUAGUAUUGAGACUCAAGAAGCUGCUCCUGGCUUUUGUGUUCUGUUUGCUCAGUCCUCAGCCCUGACAGAUCUUGGGGUAUUCUGAAGUCCUGACGCACUGCACUCAAUCAGAUAGGCAGUCAAGGCCAAGGGGAAAAUCAGGGUUCACGUGGAAUUUUGCAUAGUGCUUGAAGUUUCGAGUUCAUGCAAGCCUCAAUGCCUGAAGGAAGACUGCCAUGGGAUGCAACCCCAGGGUGACCUGAACCUGCCAAUUUGAGUUAAGCAAAACUUCAAAAGAAGCCCAGCCCUAGUUGCAAAUACAACACCUGGUCAGACUGUCCUAUACCCAGUGGCAUGAGAAGUGAGACAGCAUGCACCAAUAUGGCACAUUAUCCCUGCUAUACUUGUGCUCUAGUGGCAGCAUGCAAAAAUCACAUGACAUAUCCCCUCACUGCUGCAGUCUGGUUCCUGUCUCUGCAGUAUUAUCAUCGAUCUUUUGCUCCACAUUAGGCUCCUAGGCAGCCCAUUGGGGCUGAUUUGUCAAUAAUUUCAAAGGUUAUUCAAACAUUCAAGCUUUAUUGUGAUUCUUAAUGGAUCAUCUCCAUAGAGCAAUUUAGUAGUGUAGUAGAGAAGGUUAUACAGCAACACUGAGUACGACCAGACUGGGGACAGUGCAGCUAUAAAGUUGCAUGCUGCCACCAUAAGACCUUAAAUCCAAGGGAGGUAUCUGAUAGAUCCUUGCACGCUUUGGAUGUAUCAAUAGCUUCAAGUAAGUCAUCCACAUACAUUAUGAUAUAGGAAGAGGUGAAAAUCAACUGGAUUAAUAAGAGUCAACAGUGUAAACAACUGGCAUCAGCUGUCAAUGCCAUGUUGGAAUUCUACAGCAUGGGAUUGCUUAGUAACAAGAACACGGAUCUAGUCACACUCAGACCUGCCUAUUAAAAGGAAUACAUGAGGUCCACAAAGAACCUACACAGCCAGAACUGUCAUUUGGCAUGAGCUGAUCAACACUUUUCUUGAAGUGUGGAGCAAACGUUCACAACAGGCUGAUGAACUCCUGGUGGGUUCAUCUCUCCCACAUGUCACUUUUUCAAAGUGCAGAGAAUUAAAUCCACAAAAAAAGCAUAUUUAAAUAAAGUUAAUGUUCAAGAUAUUGGUCUUGAUUCUUCCCUCACUUAAACCACUGGAAUCUAGGAGUAAUUCCUCUGCAAAUCAAUGAAACUAAGACAGUGCAAGUGAAAGUAGACUGAGUUCCACUGAAACACAAAAUACAAGACAAAAUAUGCUUCCUUACUGUACCAGUCAGGAGGGGUCAGACUGCAGGACAGAACACAUUACUUUCCUCACCUCAAACAUCAGAGGAAGAAAGCAGGAUUUAAGAUCAAAAGGUGAAAUCUUGACCCUAUUGAAGUCAAUUGGAGUCUUGGCAUUGGGUGAAAUCCUGGCUACACUGAAGUGAGUGGAGUCAGAAUUUCACCCAAAGUGUCAGUAUCAUUUCUGAAUACAUUAGCUGUUCCUCCCACACAUCAGAACCUUUUCUUUAUUUAAUCAGUUGAGUGCUACCAAAAGAACUUGGUAUGUUUGGAGGAAUCAGGGGCUGUGCCAAAUGGCACAGUUAGUCUUUAGAAAUUAUUUGUUUAGGUGCUUUAAUUAAAGCAAAUUAUGUACCCAAAGAAUACAACCAACCAACAAGCCAGACAGGUACCUUAGAAGUUUUCAGGCUAUCAAGUAAAAGUCAGUACAUUAAAGCAAUUCUUUAAAAAUAAGAACUUCUAUAAUAAAAUAGCUAAACACAGUUUUCACAAUUAAAACAUACAUCUAUUAUUAAGUCCAAAAAUAAUGGUUUCACAAGUCUGUGGAAAUAUCUACUGUACACUAGAACCUCAAUAAUUCUUACUUUCUUCAUAAACAAGCCCAGUAAUUUCCCCAGAAAAAUGGCAGCCCCCCACGGCUCAGUGAAGAUUUAGUAGCAGAAAGCCAAAGCACAUUAUAUUAUGAAAACUUCAUUAUUUUAUAAUAUAUGCAACAGUAACUUUACUAAUAUAGGGUUCAAUUCUUCAUGUUCCUUCCAUACGAGUAAUCCUAUUGAAUUCAACUAGAUUAAUCCCAUGACUAAGGACAAUUUACAUGAGUAAAGAUUUCAGGACAAGGGGAUCAGUAUAAAAUAUAAAUAGUUUUCACUACAUUUAUAACACAUGAACAAAGUACACUCUGCAAUGCAGAUUACCUGCUCUGUGUGCAUGUGUGCGUGUUUAUGCACUUUCUUAAUUGCUAGUUCACAACAUAUGAAAAUCUGCAAUGGAUCUUCCUUGUUAUUAGGGCAAAUCAGAUUUUACUGAAUUUGCUAUACAUGUUACAGAAGGACAAAUAAUAAUAAAGGUCACAGUAGCUGAAGAUUUUUUUUAAAAAUAUGAAUCCUCCGCCGCUCCACAUAGAAGUAGAAAGAUGGGCACAAACCUAAAAAUACAAGAUAACUCAGUGCCCAGAGCUACUUUUAACUAUGCUCCUAAACAGGAGCUACAAACUGGUGACAGCUGCCUGAAUUUUCAUGCCAUUCCCUUUGGAAGAUGGACCUUGUAAAAAUGAUUUGAGGAUUGCCUUGUCAGUAUCGCUCAAUCCUAUGUCAUUACUUUAACAGAACUUGUGGAGAUGUCAAAUAUGGCCAUGCCCCUACACAGGUUCACAAGUAGGCUACCAAUCCAAUCUCUGUGAUUCUGAUCAACCUGUGGCCUAGAGGUAGAUAAUGUGCAUCAAACGAUCACACAAUUCCAGUUUAUUGCCAGUGCCAAUAUUGCUUUUUAUCUCACUUUGUUGUUCUAAUUUACAACACCAAUUUAGUCAGGGUCAUUGUAUUUGGACUUUCAGUGUUUUUAAAACACUGGGGCAGCAAAGGGAGAUAUGUUACAGUUAUCAAAAGAGAAUAUGAGGUACAGUGUAAUUACUAUUGUUUUCAGAAGCAUUGCUAUGUAGUAACUAUGUAGCUUACAUUACUCCGUGGUAACAAUGCAACUGACUUGCAUCAUCCCUCUCCAGUGCCUCGCACAAGGCUAAAAAUCCUAAUAGAAUAAUGUGCUGCCCAUAAAUCUUAACACAUUGUGUAUUAUUAGUAAAACUUUUUUAAAAUUCUUACUUGAUAAAGUAAUAAACUUGUUUGAUGAAUAAGACCCCACAUACCAAAUGGUGAAAUGCAAUAUGAGUUGUUAAAAGAAUAAACCUGUUGAAUAA